CAAUAGCGUAUACUAAAGUUGUUGCAGUUAAAAAGCUCGUAGUCGAAUGAAGGUUUCUUGUAUAGCGCGGACGUCUAGGUGUAACUUAGAUUAGUUUGCGCACAAGAACCUCCCUUGUGUGUCUCAGAGGAGCAAAUAUUUAUUUAUUUUGAUCCAUUUGCGACACACACAUUACUGUGAACAAAAUAGAGUGUUCAUGGCAGGUCAAUUUAGGCUUGAAUACCUCAGCAUGGAAUAAUAGAAUAGGACUUCCGGUUCUAUUUUGUUGGUUUUUGGUAGCCGAAGUAAUGAUUAAUAGGAGUAUUGGGGGCGACUCGUACUCCGUUGUCAGAGGUGAAAUUACUU
RNAcentral lists this ribosomal RNA (345 nucleotides) under uncultured eukaryote. Its description in RNAcentral is "bacterial SSU rRNA". It matches the Rfam family "Eukaryotic small subunit ribosomal RNA", at positions 592 to 922 of the family's 1831-position model. The record is from RNAcentral.